RNAcentral lists this ribosomal RNA (710 nucleotides) under uncultured Methanosaeta sp. Its description in RNAcentral is "bacterial SSU rRNA". It matches the Rfam family "Archaeal small subunit ribosomal RNA", at positions 126 to 836 of the family's 1478-position model. The record is from RNAcentral. Lineage: Archaea; Methanobacteriati; Methanobacteriota; Methanomicrobia; Methanotrichales; Methanotrichaceae.
AUAAACCCGGGAAACUGGGUAUAAUACCCGAUAGAUCUCGGCUGCUGGAAUGCAUCGAGCUCUAAAGCUCCGGCGCCUGAGGAUGGGUCUGCGGCCUAUCAGGUAGUNAGUGGGUGUAGCGUACCUACUAGCCUACGACGGGUACGGGUUGUGAGAGCAAGAGCCCGGAGAUGGAUUCUGAGACACGAAUCCAGGCCCUACGGGGUGCAGCAGGCGCGAAAACUUUACAAUGCCGGCAACGGCGAUAAGGGGACCUCGAGUGCCAGGUUACAAAUCUGGCUGUCGUGAUGCCUAAAAAGCAUUGCAUAGCAAGGGCCGGGCAAGACCGGUGCCAGCCGCCGCGGUAACACCGGCGGCUCGAGUGGUAACCGUUAUUAUUGGGUCUAAAGGGUCUGUAGCCGGCCGGAUAAGUCUCUUGGGAAAUCCAGCAGCUUAACUGUUGGGCUUUCAGGAGAUACUGUCUGGCUCGAGGCCGGGAGAGGUGAGAGGUACUUCAGGGGUAGGGGUGAAAUCUUGUAAUCCUUGAAGGACCACCAGUGGCGAAGGCGUCUCACCAGAACGGACCUGACGGCAAGGGACGAAAGCUAGGGGCACGAACCGGAUUAGAUACCCGGGUAGUCCUAGCCGUAAACGAUACUCGCUAGGUGUCGGCCACGGUGCGACCGUUGUCGGUGCCGUAGGGAAGCCGUGAAGCGAGCCACCUGGGAAGU